Molecule: long non-coding RNA, 825 nt
Organism: Mizuhopecten yessoensis (Yesso scallop)
Lineage: Eukaryota; Metazoa; Mollusca; Bivalvia; Pectinida; Pectinidae
Exons: 3
Source: RefSeq, a predicted model, not a curated record
AAUACCAGACGAGCGAUGCAGGCCCAUUGGGCCUCUUGUAUUAACUUCAAAAUAUUAAUUAUCAAUUUAGCAAAUGUUUUGCUCUUUCUUGUUUUGUCUAUACAGAAAUAUUGGUAUGGAAGACAUGCAUAGUCCACAACAUCUAAAUGGAAUGUCUUUUAUUGGUCACAAGCAGCGAAAUUUGUUUGACGUGUCGGUAUAAAAUAAGACUCUGACGGCAAUCAAAUCUGUCCCGAGUCAUGACCACACUGAUGUCCUGGGACCCGCUUGUCCUUUCCAAAACAACCCUAUAUCUAAUGUCUUUGAAAAUGCUUCGACCGGGAAAGACUUGGACCUACAAUAUACUGUUUGCUAUUGAAGCAAGUGUUAAAACUGGCGCAACAUGUUCCAACCCUUAUUUAUAUAGAACAGAGUAUCAAUGGACGAAUCUCUUGUACAAUACAAACAGUUCGCCAGUAGAUUCUACACGAAAGGUUUAACGUAUGCAUGUUCCAGAGGGAUAUAUUGAAUGAUUUCCCCUUUUAUUUUAGGAUAUUGAACUAACAUCAUUAUAAAUCAAAAACUACACAUGAAGACCUGUUUUGGGAAGUAGCAUUUUAGUAAAAUGUUGAUUUGUUACGUGUCGGCUAGGUUAUGUUUUAUUUUAUUGUAUUGUGUUUACCUGAACAUCCAGAAUACGAAUGUGUAUGUAUUUGACAGCAAUCAUCAGUUUUGUAAUGAACCUUUCAAAUCUUCUCUAACUUAGUGUAAUUGUCAAUAUACUUUCUGCGUUAUUAUUAUAGAUUCCUGGCCUUUGUUGCUAACAUACGAAGUCGUAUAGUCCGG